UACGUAGGGGCCAAGCGUUGUCCGGAUUUAUUGGGCGUAAAGAGCUCGUAGGCGGUUCGGCAAGUCGAAUGUGAAAUCUCCACGCUCAACGUGGAGGGGUCAUUCGAUACUGCCGUGACUUGAGUCCGGUAGGGGAGUGUGGAAUUCCCGGUGUAGCGGUGAAAUGCGCAGAGAUCGGGAGGAACACCCGUAGCGAAGGCGGCACUCUGGGCCGAUACUGACGCUGAGGAGCGAAAGCGUGGGGAGCGAACAGG
Molecule: ribosomal RNA, 254 nt
Filed under: uncultured bacterium
Lineage: Bacteria
Description: partial 16S ribosomal RNA
Rfam family: Bacterial small subunit ribosomal RNA
Source: RNAcentral